This 486-nucleotide ribosomal RNA is filed under the name uncultured bacterium. Its description in RNAcentral is "partial 16S ribosomal RNA". It matches the Rfam family "Bacterial small subunit ribosomal RNA", at positions 30 to 507 of the family's 1533-position model. The record is from RNAcentral.
AUUGAACGCUGGCGACAUGCCUUACACAUGCAAGUCGAACGGCAGCACGGGUGCUUGCACCUGGUGGCGAGUGGCGAACGGGUGAGUAAUACAUCGGCACAUGUCCUGUAGUGGGGGAUAGCCCGGCGAAAGCCGGAUUAAUACCGCAUACGCUCUCCGGAUGAAAGCGGGGGCCCUUCGGGCCUCGCGCUAUCGGGUUGGCCGAUGGCUGAUUAGCUAGUUGGUGGGGUAAAGGCCUACCAAGGCGACGAUCAGUAGCUGGUCUGAGAGGACGACCAGCCACACUGGGACUGAGACACGGCCCAGACUCCUACGGGAGGCAGCAGUGGGGAAUUUUGGACAAUGGGCGAAAGCCUGAUCCAGCAAUGCCGCGUGUGUGAAGAAGGCCUUCGGGUUGUAAAGCACUUUUGUCCGGAAAGAAAUCCUUGGCCCUAAUACGGUCGGGGGAUGACGGUACCGGAAGAAUAAGCACCGGCUAACUACGUG